Molecule: ribosomal RNA, 422 nt
Filed under: uncultured bacterium
Lineage: Bacteria
Description: bacterial SSU rRNA
Rfam family: Bacterial small subunit ribosomal RNA
Source: RNAcentral
UGAGGAAUAUUGGGCAAUGCCCGCAAGGGUGACCCAGCUACGCCGCGUGGAGGAUGAAUGUCGUAAGAUUGUAAACUCCUGUUAGAGGGGAAGAAUAGUACCGGUUGGACCGGUAUAUGACUGUACCCUCAGAGAAAGCCCCGGCUAACUACGUGCCAGCAGCCGCGGUAAUACGUAGGGGGCAAGCGUUGUCCGGAUUUACUGGGUGUAAAGGGCGCGCAGGCGGGAUAAAAAGUCAGUGGUGAAAUCCUACAGCUUAACUGUAGAACUGCCUUUGAUACUUUUAUUCUUGAGUUCGGGAGAGAGAGACGGAAUUCCAGGUGUAGUGGUGAAAUACGUAGAUAUCUGGAAGAACACCAGUUGCGAAGGCGGUCUCUUGGUCCGACACUGACGCUGAGGCGCGAAAGCGUGGGGAGCAAACA